This 126-nucleotide small RNA is filed under the name Flavobacterium sinopsychrotolerans. RNAcentral's name for it is "Flavo-1 RNA". It matches the Rfam family "Flavo-1 RNA". The record is from RNAcentral. Lineage: Bacteria; Pseudomonadati; Bacteroidota; Flavobacteriia; Flavobacteriales; Flavobacteriaceae.
UUUUAGCCCUGAUAGCAGUGGAAAUCCUUUUCCUUUUUUCUUUAAAAAAGAAAAGAUUACUUCACACUACUUUUAUUUUAAUCAGAGUUCAGUGAAUUUUAUUUGCAACGAAUAGCAGGAUUAGCU